Molecule: long non-coding RNA, 492 nt
Filed under: Nicotiana benthamiana
Lineage: Eukaryota; Viridiplantae; Streptophyta; Magnoliopsida; Solanales; Solanaceae
Description: long non-coding RNA (NBEN_LNC023320)
Source: RNAcentral
GGCCUUAAUGAAGCAUACAUGGGGGUAAGGAGUAACCUACUGAUGAUGCAGCAUCCUCUUUUCAGUUCCUUAUGGGCCUUAAUGAAGCAUACAUAGGGGUAAGGAGUAAUCUAUUGAUGACGCAGCCUCCUCCUACCCUUGACAGUGUCUACAAUAUGGUCCUCAAUGAUGAGAAGCAGAGACAUACCGAUGAUGCAGCCUCCUCCUACCCUUGACAGUGUCUACAAUAUGGUCCUCCAUGAUGAGAAGCAGAGACAAGUCCAGUCCCUCUCUCAGUUUAAUCCAGACUCUAUGUCUUUCAAUGUCCACAAAAACAAAAAUUCAACUGGAUUCAAUAAGGCCACAGUGCCUAAUUCUUCUCAUUUUAGACAAAGAGUUAACUUUGACCAAGCUAGAAACUCUUUAUUCUGUAGAUACUAUAAGAAAUAUGGGCACUUAAUUGAUAAGUGUUACAAGAUUCAUGUGUAUCUACAAAGUACAACAUUUAACAAG